GUCUCCUUUUUCCUGUCAAUGAAAUUAAUCUUCCCGUGCAGAAGCGAGAAUAUAAACAUAAGACGAGAAGACCCUAUGGAGCUUAAGACACAAGACAGCCCAUGUAAAACACCUAGCUAAAUAGAACUAACUAAGUGGUUCCUGUCCUUCUGUCUUUGGUUGGGGCGACCGCGGGGAAACAAACAUCCCCCAUGUGGAAUGGGCCCUCCCCCCAAAGCCAGAGCAACAGCUCUAGCUAACAGAAUAUCUGACCUACAAGAUCCGGCAAAGCCGAUCAACGGACCGAGUUACCCUAGGGAUAACAGCGCAAUCCCCUUUUAGAGCCCAUAUCGACAAGGGGGUUUAC
This 346-nucleotide ribosomal RNA is filed under the name Luciogobius fluvialis. Its description in RNAcentral is "partial 16S ribosomal RNA". It matches the Rfam family "Bacterial large subunit ribosomal RNA", at positions 2018 to 2521 of the family's 2925-position model. Lineage: Eukaryota; Metazoa; Chordata; Actinopteri; Gobiiformes; Gobiidae. The record is from RNAcentral.